This 84-nucleotide transfer RNA is filed under the name Gemmatimonadaceae bacterium. Its description in RNAcentral is "tRNA-Leu". It matches the Rfam family "tRNA". From Rfam's summary of the family: Transfer RNA (tRNA) molecules are approximately 80 nucleotides in length. Their secondary structure includes four short double-helical elements and three loops (D, anti-codon, and T loops). The record is from RNAcentral. Lineage: Bacteria; Pseudomonadati; Gemmatimonadota; Gemmatimonadia; Gemmatimonadales; Gemmatimonadaceae.
GCCCGGGUGGCGAAAUGGUCAGACGCGGGGGACUUAAAAUCCCCUGACCGCGAGGUCAUGUGGGUUCGAUUCCCACCCCGGGUA